CGGCAAUGCAGGUGAAAGAACUUUCUUCUGCUAAUUACACGGGGUGGAGCAGGCGGGAGGAACUGUGUUGCAGGUGUUGUUCAUGUAAAGCAAGUUGCAUGAUUACAGCCAGCGAUACCUGCUCUUGCAGGUGGCAGGUAGAAGCUGGAAGAAGCUCUUUCAAAUGCAUUUUUGCAAAGGGGCCUGAAAGUUUAUUUGCCUCACCCCAAGUCCCGGAGAAGCUCCAUAACAAGGGUGAGGUGGGCUCUCUUGUACCAUAAGGAAGCUCCAAGCCAGCAUCGCAGUGUGGGGAGGAUGAAGCUUCACCUGCAUUUUCUUUUUCUUUUGCAGUAGUUUGGGAAAGGGUCCAUUGCAUGUGGCGACUUUCAGGAAAAAAAGAAUGUGAGGAAAGGUGACAGUGUUUGCACGUGGAUCGCUCACAGCCUAGCCCAGGCGUGGACAACAAACUCAUGCUGGGUCCCCAUCACACUCCCAGCUUUUUCUGUCUGUGGUUCUUGUAUUGCUUCCUUCCCCUAUAAGUACUUUUGUGUCAUGGAAGUGGUUACAUUUGGGGCGAGAGGAGGGGUUUUGUUUCAAAGGUAUUUUGGUAUUGCAAAUGCAGAUGGUUGCAUGUUACAUGUUCAAAAAUGAACAGGCACCAAAUAACUGUUAUUUCAGAGUAAGUUAGGUUCUUUCAAAAAUCAAAAUAGGCCCCAGAAGGGAAUAUUUCCCUGAGACCCAGCCUGGUGCUUCCCAUUGUUCAGGUAUUUGUCGAGACAUAAAGCCAAUCAGGAGAGAAAAAUAGCACCAGGACCGAGAGCCAGUUUCCGCUGUCUGAAUCUGGCUGAUUCAGAUCCUGCAUGUAAAUCUGCUCCCAGGUGACUUUUCCAGGUUCAGUCACACUUUGAUCUUUAACUGUCAUCUUCUUUGUGAUGUAGCUAUUUCAAUUUCAUUAAUUAGACCAGUAGUAAUUUCUCCUCCUGCAGUAAAGUAAAUGAGCAAAAAUAAACCAUCCAACCUUCUGCUGGAUUCA
RNAcentral lists this long non-coding RNA (1012 nucleotides) under Numida meleagris (helmeted guineafowl). Its description in RNAcentral is "lncRNA (ENSNMEG00000010397.1)". The record is from RNAcentral. Lineage: Eukaryota; Metazoa; Chordata; Aves; Galliformes; Numididae.